Molecule: ribosomal RNA, 287 nt
Filed under: uncultured bacterium
Lineage: Bacteria
Description: partial 16S ribosomal RNA
Rfam family: Bacterial small subunit ribosomal RNA
Source: RNAcentral
UGAGAUGUUGGGUUAAGUCCCGUAACGAGCGCAACCCUUGUCCUUAGUUACCAGCACGUUAAGGUGGGCACUCUAAGGAGACUGCCGGUGACAAACCGGAGGAAGGUGGGGAUGACGUCAAGUCAUCAUGGCCCUUACGGCCUGGGCUACACACGUGCUACAAUGGUCGGUACAAAGGGUUGCCAAGCCGCGAGGUGGAGCUAAUCCCAUAAAACCGAUCGUAGUCCGGAUCGCAGUCUGCAACUCGACUGCGUGAAGUCGGAAUCGCUAGUAAUCGUGAAUCAGAA